GACGAACGCUGGCGGCGUGCUUAACUCAUGCAAGUCGAACGGUGAAGCGCCUUCCUUUUUGGUGGGUGUGGAUGAGUGGCGAACGGGUGAGUAACACGUGAGUAACCUGCCCCCUUCUUCUGGAUAACCGCAUGAAAGUGUGGCUAAUACGGGAUAUUCUGGGUCUGUCGCAUGAUGGGUCUGGGAAAGAUAUUGUUUCGGUGGGGGAUGGUCUCGCGGCCUAUCAGCUUGUUGGUGGGGUGAUGGCCUACCAAGGCGGUGACGGGUAGCCGGCCUGAGAGGGUGGACGGUCACACUGGGACUGAGACACGGCCCAGACUCCUACGGGAGGCAGCAGUGGGGAAUAUUGCACAAUGGGCGCAAGCCUGAUGCAGCGACGCCGCGUGAGGGAUGGAGGCCUUCGGGUUGUGAACCUCUUUCGCCAGUGAAGCAGGCCUGCCUCGUUUGUGGGUGGGUUGACGGUAGCUGGAUAAGAAGCGCCGGCUAACUACGUG
This 494-nucleotide ribosomal RNA is filed under the name uncultured bacterium. RNAcentral's name for it is "partial 16S ribosomal RNA". It matches the Rfam family "Bacterial small subunit ribosomal RNA", at positions 28 to 507 of the family's 1533-position model. The record is from RNAcentral.